Molecule: ribosomal RNA, 404 nt
Filed under: Verrucomicrobiota bacterium
Lineage: Bacteria; Pseudomonadati; Verrucomicrobiota
Description: Verrucomicrobia bacterium partial 16S ribosomal RNA
Rfam family: Bacterial small subunit ribosomal RNA
Source: RNAcentral
UGGGGAAUAUUGCACAAUGGAGGGAACUCUGAUGCAGCGACGCCGCGUGAACGAAGAAGGCUUUCGAGUCGUAAAGUUCUUUUAUAUGGGAAGAUAAUGACGGUACCAUAAGAAAAAGCCCCGGCUAACUACGUGCCAGCAGCCGCGGUAAUACGGAAGGUUCGGGCGUUAUCCGGAUUUAUUGGGUUUAAAGGGAUCGUAGGCCGUUUGGUAAGCGUGUUGUGAAAUGUAGGAGCUCAACUUCUAGAUUGCAGCGCGAACUGUCAGACUUGAGUGCGCACAACGUAGGCGGAAUUCAUGGUGUAGCGGUGAAAUGCUUAGAUAUCAUGACGAACUCCGAUUGCGCAGGCAGCUUACUGUAGCAUAACUGACGCUGAUGCUCGAAAGUGCGGGUAUCAAACAGG